UACGUAGGCAGCAAGCGUUGUUCGGAGUUACUGGGCGUAAAGGGUGUGUAGGCGGUUCUUUAAGUUUGGUGUGAAAUCUCCCGGCUCAACCGGGAGGGUGCGCCGAAUACUGAGGGACUCGAGUGCGGGAGAGGAAAGUGGAAUUCCUGGUGUAGCGGUGAAAUGCGUAGAUAUCAGGAGGAACACCGGUGGUGUAGACGGCUUUCCGGACCGUAACUGACGCUGAGACACGAAAGCGUGGGUAGCAAACAGG
This 253-nucleotide ribosomal RNA is filed under the name uncultured bacterium. RNAcentral describes it as "partial 16S ribosomal RNA". It matches the Rfam family "Bacterial small subunit ribosomal RNA", at positions 524 to 776 of the family's 1533-position model. The record is from RNAcentral.